CAUAAUCUCUAUGGAGAAAAGCAGGGGAUCGCAAGACCUUGCGCUUUUGGAGCGGCCGAUGUCUGAUUAGCUAGUUGGUGAGGUAAAGGCUUACCAAGGCUUCGAUCAGUAGCUGGUCUGAGAGGACGACCAGCCACACUGGGACUGAGACACGGCCCAGACUCCUACGGGAGGCAGCAGUGGGGAAUUUUGGACAAUGGGGGCAACCCUGAUCCAGCCAUGCCGCGUGAGUGAAGAAGGCCUUCGGGUUGUAAAGCUCUUUCAGCCGGAACGAAAAGGUUACGGUUAAUACCCGUAACUAAUGACGGUACCGGAAGAAGAAG
RNAcentral lists this ribosomal RNA (323 nucleotides) under uncultured beta proteobacterium. RNAcentral describes it as "bacterial SSU rRNA". It matches the Rfam family "Bacterial small subunit ribosomal RNA", at positions 172 to 490 of the family's 1533-position model. The record is from RNAcentral. Lineage: Bacteria; Pseudomonadati; Pseudomonadota; Betaproteobacteria.